UAGGGAAUCUUCCGCAAUGGACGAAAGUCUGACGGAGCAACGCCGCGUGAGUGAUGAAGGUUUUCGGAUCGUAAAGCUCUGUUGUUAGGGAAGAUCAAGUGCCGUUCAAAUAGGGCGGCACCUUGACGGUACCUAACCAGAAAGCCACGGCUAACUACGUGCCAGCAGCCGCGGUAAUACGUAGGUGGCAAGCGUUGUCCGGAAUUAUUGGGCGUAAAGGGCUCGCAGGCGGUUUCUUAAGUCUGAUGUGAAAGCCCCCGGCUCAACCGGGGAGGGUCAUUGGAAACUGGGGAACUUGAGUGCAGAAGAGGAGAGUGGAAUUCCACGUGUAGCGGUGAAAUGCGUAGAGAUGUGGAGGAACACCAGUGGCGAAGGCGACUCUCUGGUCUGUAACUGACGCUGAGGAGCGAAAGCGUGGGGAGCGAACA
RNAcentral lists this ribosomal RNA (428 nucleotides) under uncultured bacterium. Its description in RNAcentral is "partial 16S ribosomal RNA". It matches the Rfam family "Bacterial small subunit ribosomal RNA", at positions 355 to 774 of the family's 1533-position model. The record is from RNAcentral.